AAUGGAGGAAACUCUGACGCAGCCAUGCCGCGUGAAGGAUGAAUGCCUAUGGGUUGUAAACUUCUUUUACGUAGGAAGAACGCAGAUACGUGUAUCUGUUUGACGGUACUACACGAAUAAGGACCGGCUAACUCCGUGCCAGCAGCCGCGGUAAUACGGAGGGUCCAAGCGUUAUCCGGAUUCAUUGGGUUUAAAGGGUACGUAGGCGGAUAAAUAAGUCAGUGGUGAAAGCCCGAAGCUCAACUUCGGAACUGCCAUUGAUACUGUUUAUCUUGAAUUUGGUUGAAGUGGGCGGAAUAUGACAUGUAGCGGUGAAAUGCAUAGAUAUGUCAUGGAACACCAAUAGUGAAGACAGCUCACUAAGCCAAUAUUGACGCUGAGGUACGAAAGCAUGGGUAGCGAACAGGAUU
RNAcentral lists this ribosomal RNA (410 nucleotides) under uncultured Flavobacteriia bacterium. RNAcentral's name for it is "bacterial SSU rRNA". It matches the Rfam family "Bacterial small subunit ribosomal RNA", at positions 370 to 779 of the family's 1533-position model. Lineage: Bacteria; Pseudomonadati; Bacteroidota; Flavobacteriia. The record is from RNAcentral.